RNAcentral lists this ribosomal RNA (309 nucleotides) under uncultured bacterium. RNAcentral's name for it is "bacterial SSU rRNA". It matches the Rfam family "Bacterial small subunit ribosomal RNA", at positions 28 to 334 of the family's 1533-position model. The record is from RNAcentral.
GAUGAACGCUAGCGGCAGGCCUAACACAUGCAAGUCGAGGGGCAGCACGAUUGCUUGCAAUUGGUGGCGACCGGCGCACGGGUGCGUAACGCGUAUGCAACCUACCCUUAACAGGAGGAUAGCCCGGGGAAACUCGGAUUAAUACUCCAUAAUAUCAUGAAUUCGCAUGUUUUUAUGAUUAAAGAUUUAUCGGUUAAGGAUGGGCAUGCGUAAGAUUAGCUAGUUGGUAAGGUAAUGGCUUACCAAGGCAACGAUCUUUAGGGGGCCUGAGAGGGUGAACCCCCACACUGGUACUGAGACACGGACCAG